This 493-nucleotide ribosomal RNA is filed under the name uncultured Collinsella sp. RNAcentral describes it as "bacterial SSU rRNA". It matches the Rfam family "Bacterial small subunit ribosomal RNA", at positions 8 to 521 of the family's 1533-position model. Lineage: Bacteria; Bacillati; Actinomycetota; Coriobacteriia; Coriobacteriales; Coriobacteriaceae. The record is from RNAcentral.
AGAGUUUGAUCCUGGCUCAGGAUGAACGCUGGCGGCGCGCCUAACACAUGCAAGUCGAACGGCACCCACCUCCGGGUGGAAGCGAGUGGCGAACGGCUGAGUAACACGUGGAGAACCUGCCCCCUCCCCCGGGAUAGCCGCCCGAAAGGACGGGUAAUACCGGAUACCCCGGGGUGCCGCAUGGCACCCCGGCUAAAGCCCCGACGGGAGGGGAUGGCUCCGCGGCCCAUCAGGUAGACGGCGGGGUGACGGCCCACCGUGCCGACAACGGGUAGCCGGGUUGAGAGACCGACCGGCCAGAUUGGGACUGAGACACGGCCCAGACUCCUACGGGAGGCAGCAGUGGGGAAUCUUGCGCAAUGGGGGGAACCCUGACGCAGCGACGCCGCGUGCGGGACGGAGGCCUUCGGGUCGUAAACCGCUUUCAGCAGGGAAGAGUCAAGACUGUACCUGCAGAAGAAGCCCCGGCUAACUACGUGCCAGCAGCCGCGGU